CAACAAAAUACAGUGAGAAGUGUUGCAUAGUGUUGCACCAUUCUCCAGUGCCAUCUUAAAAUAUAGAAAAAUAAACCAGAAUAUAGUCGGAAAGCGAAAAAAUAAAGAAAAAUGUUCAAUUUUAUUGUCCUCCUUGCCAAAUGCUCUGCCUGGGCCUGGUGGCCAGACACAAGUCCCCUUCAUCACGUCGCUGCCACUGGAACAAAAGUCUGCCACUUUUCAGUAGCAACUGUCCUCCAACAACGACUUCACCAUUGAAUCCUUUUCCGGCCUUGCCAAUGCAGAUGGCACCAGAUACCAUACCAAACUUGACUCUGUUGCUGCUGUAAAUCCAUUUCAUGCCCACUUUGUUGAUGCAGUCGUUGCUGAUGCCACCAGGUUUUGUACUCGACCCAAACUUGCCUCCGCCACCUCCAUGAAUCCCAGCUUGAUGCAGGUAUCGCUGGGAGCCCAGACUCAUUUCCAUCUCGGCAGCAAUGAGUCAGCGGUAGGCACACCUCAUCAGAAACUGCCAGGAUCCCAAACUAUCCUCCGCUGCCUCCACAAAUCUGCACUGCUCUGCCUAUUUGCCGAUGCCAAUGGAUGCCUUUGCUGCAUUGAUGCUGAGAGAAUGUUUCUUGAUGGAGAUUCCUUUCACUGUGAAGAAGGAGUCCUUCAUGUUGCAGAGCCAAGGCCAGGGCCAGAUCCUGAUCACACCAAACUGGCAGACACUCACUCCCAUUAACAGUGAGAUCACAUCAGAGGUUCCCCCCACUCUCCCGCGUUCUCUCCCGAUCUCUCUCUCUCUCUUCCUGUCUUGCUCAGCUCCUGCUAAAGUGUCCUGGACUACUUGAAGCAUAGCCCAGAAAUUGAAUCUCAGAUUAUUAUCCUGUAUGGGGAUUAUUGUUGCUUUUGGUAGUUAUUUUGAAUAGCCUUGGAUCUCUCAGGAGUUAGCUAUUUUGAUGAAAGGUACAGUGUUAAUUUAAUAUCAAUGUAUUCAGUUGGGAUGUUGAGGAAUAUAUGUUACAUUUUACACUUAUGUAUGACACAUUUUAUGCAUUUCCCUGAAAUUAGAAGAGCACUUCUUUCCUCAAAUAUGGUGGUCUUUGCACUUACAAGUGUGAUUCUUUUUAUUAACAAUAAAGCUGAUGAGCAGAAUGUUGUCAGAAGUUGCUUGGAUGCAAAUUCAAAAUUUUGUGUUGCUCAUUUGGUUAGUUUUUGACAAUGAUAUUUGUAAGUUUUACAGGGUUGCUUAUGAAGCAGGAAGUGUAGUAAAUUCAAAACUAUUAUUACAGAUGUUGCUGUAUUUUUAAGAGAUGCUACCAAUUAUCAUGGUUCAUCAAUUAUUUUUCUGUGGCAGUUGAUCGGAGAAAUGAAGGCAGCGAUAUAAUGAUCAGUGUCUCUAGUCUAAAAGAAGCUGAAGUCAGUCUCUGGAAUGCCCAACGGGAAGAGAUGAACACUACAUAAUGAAUGGUAAUAGAGAAGACACUAAGUAAAAGAAGAGGCCAUUAGGUUUUACAGAGUUUCACUGAUGUCCACUCAUAAGAACAUGGUCACCAUUUUUGUAUUAAAAAUAGAAGUAUUACAGGUUUUGCAAGAAGUUCAAUGGAAAAUGAGUUAAAUAGGUGCUUGACUUCUGUAGUUAUAAUUGAGGGUGUAAAUAAUUACCAUUCAGAAGUUGGAAGUAUUUCACUUUCUACAAGUAAAAGAUCGAAUGUUCCAUAAAUGUGACAAAUUGCCUUUAUCUAUUAGCAUUGUGUACUGACAUUAGAUUAGAUUCCCUACAGUGUGGAAACAGGCCUUUCGGCCCAACAAGUCCACACCGACCCUCCGAAGAGUAACCCACCCCCUUAUGACUAAUGCUCCUGACAACUAUGGUCAAUUUACCAUGGCCAAUUCACCUGACCUGCACAUCUUUGUGACUGUGGGAGGAAACCGGAGCACCCGGAGGAAACCCAUGCAGACACUGGGAGAAUGUGCAAAUUCCAUGCAGACAGUCGUCCGAGGCUGGACUCGAACCUGGGACCCUGGCACUGUGAGGCAGCAGUGCUAGCCACUGUGACACCCCCAUUAUUCAUUUGUCCAUUUUAGAAUUUUCAUGUUGAUGACUUGUAUUUUUCAGCUGUAUUGUGCAAAUUUUAAAUCAGUUGCCAAAAUUGAAGAGAACAGUUAACAAGUUGCCAAAAAUAGCCUAAAUUUAAGAUCUCUAGAACUUGGUAUUGCAUAGAAAUUUGAUCAUUUCAUAGGAUUUUGAUCUUUUCUGUUCCUUUUUUUAACUGUUUGCAGUUCUAUAGAUCAAGCAAACAGGACAGUUAAUUAGAAGAUGUGUUUUCUUUUGGAAGGAAUUUUAGAAGGCAGUUGAGUCAUUUUCUUUCAAAUGAAAACAUGGCAGUCAGAUGGAUUUCUACCCAUUUGCAGCACCACUGAGGGAGAACCUAUCCACACGUGACCCAAAUUGCCAUGAUGUCAGUUGAAAUACCUUCUUCCAUAAAGAGAUCUUGAUUGAUUUUAAAGCUUGGAAAAAUUAAUUUGAGAGAAAGUAUCACCUGUGACCCUUUCUUAGUUGUAUAAACAUCAUAUAGAGAAAAGUAUGUUAAUAUGUGAAGUUGUAUAAAAAUUGACUUGACUGUUGUAAAGUUAUGACUGCUUAAAAAAUCUUUUGUAUAUUAUAGUUAUCUUGGAUGUCAUCAAGUUGUACAUAUUUUAGCGCAACUUUACGAAGUAAUCUGCCUAUUGGCCAUAAUGGUCUGAAAAUGUCUGAUCUCAGAACCUUGCAUUCUGAAGGCUUGUGUGGCACAGUGUUAGUGUCCUAACCACUUGGUCAAGUGGCCUUUGUUCAAGUCCACCUACCCCAGUGAUAUGUCAUUUUAUAUCAGAACAGAUAGAUUAAAAAUACACACAGAAAUCAUCUGUAUCAUUUAAUAGUCAUCUAUAUCACUUGUUUCAAAACAAAGCUUGAACAGUUUGACUUUUCUGAGUUUGAUCAUCUGUUUGUAAAAGAAGAAAGAUCUGUACAAGAUUUGCUAAUUCCUAGAUAUUUUGACAAUUGGUGUAAUUAUAAGAUUAAAAUAUUGAAGAUAUUCAACUUUGACCAUCCAAUGGUAUGCAAUGGUAGCCACUUUUGAAAAUAAGUUAUCUGUUGCUGUCCAAAUGUAAAACUUAAUAGCAUGUUUUCAAAGUUGACAGUUUCAAGAAAAAAAAUGAGUAAAUUCAAUUUUGGAUUGUCAGUUGGUCAAGGAUAGAACAUUGGAGCCUACUAAUCACUUAAAAUGUUAUUAUUUAUAAUGACACACAUUGCACUUUCAAUAAAAUAAAAUACUUUAUUUCU
Chiloscyllium plagiosum (whitespotted bambooshark) is the source of this 3307-nucleotide non-coding RNA. Lineage: Eukaryota; Metazoa; Chordata; Chondrichthyes; Orectolobiformes; Hemiscylliidae. The record is from RefSeq and is a predicted model, not a curated record.